ACAAAUUAUUUAGGCCCCUGGCUGCCCCAAAAGGGCGAAGGGGGGAAACCUAAACAUUUGUGUGCACUAUAUCUGUCUUUGGCAGUUCGAGUGUCCUGGGUGCGUAACUGCCUCGGGUACCUACCGAGGCUUACCCUUUGGGGUUUGCCGGAGUUGGGCUGCCGCCUUUUUGAAAAAACCUUUUGUUUUGUUUUGUCUGAAAUUUGUUUGAUCUUUAUGAUUGGAUUUUAAAUA
This 234-nucleotide unclassified non-coding RNA is filed under the name uncultured Rhizophlyctis. Its description in RNAcentral is "sequence contains ITS1". The record is from RNAcentral. Lineage: Eukaryota; Fungi; Chytridiomycota; Chytridiomycetes; Spizellomycetales; Spizellomycetaceae.